AUUUUUCUAGUAUAUUGUACAAGUGAUUUCCACUCACUAAGUCUUAGCUUCACACUAAGGAAAAAUA
RNAcentral lists this transfer RNA (67 nucleotides) under Gekko hokouensis. Its description in RNAcentral is "tRNA-Gly". Lineage: Eukaryota; Metazoa; Chordata; Lepidosauria; Squamata; Gekkonidae. The record is from RNAcentral.